RNAcentral lists this ribosomal RNA (468 nucleotides) under uncultured bacterium. RNAcentral describes it as "partial 16S ribosomal RNA". It matches the Rfam family "Bacterial small subunit ribosomal RNA", at positions 28 to 507 of the family's 1533-position model. The record is from RNAcentral.
GACGAACGCUGGCGGCGUGCUUAACACAUGCAAGUCGAACGGAAAGGCCCUGCUUUUGUGGGGUGCUCGAGUGGCGAACGGGUGGGUAACACGUGAGUAACCUGCCCUUGACUUUGGGAUAACUUCAGGAAACUGGGGCUAAUACCGGAUAGGAGCUCCUGCUGCAUGGUGGGGGUUGGAAAGUUUCGGCGGUUGGGGAUGGACUCGCGGCUUAUCAGCUUGUUGGUGGGGUAGUGGCUUACCAAGGCUUUGACGGGUAGCCGGCCUGAGAGGGUGACCGGCCACAUUGGGACUGAGAUACGGCCCAGACUCCUACGGGAGGCAGCAGUGGGGAAUAUUGCACAAUGGGCGGAAGCCUGAUGCAGCAACGCCGCAUGCGGGAUGACGGCCUUCGGGUUGUAAACCGCUUUCGCCUGUGACGAAGCGUGAGUGACGGUAAUGGGUAAAGAAGCACCGGCUAACUACGUG